UACGUAGGCGGAACUUUAAGUCAGUGGUGAAAUCCUGCGGCUCAACCGUAGAACUGCCAUUGAUACUGAAGUUCUUGAAUGCAGUUGAGGUAGGCGGAAUGUGUAAUGUAGCGGUGAAAUGCUUAGAUAUUACACAGAACACCGAUUGCGAAGGCAGCUUGCUAAACUGUGAUUGGCGCUGAUGCACGAAAGCGUGGGGAGCGAACAGGAUUAGAUACCCUGGUAGUCC
RNAcentral lists this ribosomal RNA (229 nucleotides) under uncultured bacterium. RNAcentral describes it as "partial 16S ribosomal RNA". It matches the Rfam family "Bacterial small subunit ribosomal RNA", at positions 568 to 796 of the family's 1533-position model. The record is from RNAcentral.